Molecule: ribosomal RNA, 344 nt
Filed under: uncultured bacterium
Lineage: Bacteria
Description: bacterial SSU rRNA
Rfam family: Bacterial small subunit ribosomal RNA
Source: RNAcentral
GAGUUUGAUCUUGGCUCAGAUUGAACGCUGGCGGCAGGCCUAACACAUGCAAGUCGAGCGGUAGAGAGAAGCUUGCUUCUCUUGAGAGCGGCGGACGGGUGAGUAAUGCCUAGGAAUCUGCCUGGUAGUGGGGGAUAACGCUCGGAAACGGACGCUAAUACCGCAUACGUCCUACGGGAGAAAGCAGGGGACCUUCGGGCCUUGCGCUAUCAGAUGAGCCUAGGUCGGAUUAGCUAGUUGGUGAGGUAAUGGCUCACCAAGGCGACGAUCCGUAACUGGUCUGAGAGGAUGAUCAGUCACACUGGAACUGAGACACGGUCCAGACUCCUACGGGAGGCAGCAGU